AGUCCCCUAGCUCAGAGGCAGAGCAGCGCUUUCACACGGCGAAGGUCGAGAUUUCGAAACUCUCGGGGACUACCA
RNAcentral lists this transfer RNA (75 nucleotides) under Methylibium petroleiphilum PM1. RNAcentral describes it as "tRNA-Val (CAC) (tRNA-Val-CAC-2-1)". It matches the Rfam family "tRNA". From Rfam's summary of the family: Transfer RNA (tRNA) molecules are approximately 80 nucleotides in length. Their secondary structure includes four short double-helical elements and three loops (D, anti-codon, and T loops). Lineage: Bacteria; Pseudomonadati; Pseudomonadota; Betaproteobacteria; Burkholderiales; Sphaerotilaceae. The record is from RNAcentral.